Molecule: ribosomal RNA, 403 nt
Filed under: uncultured bacterium
Lineage: Bacteria
Description: bacterial SSU rRNA
Rfam family: Bacterial small subunit ribosomal RNA
Source: RNAcentral
GUGGGGAAUAUUGGACAAUGGGCGCAAGCCUGAUCCAGCCAUGCCGCGUGAGUGAUGAAGGCCUUAGGGUUGUAAAGCUCUUUCGUCAGGGAAGAUAAUGACGGUACCUGAAGAAGAAGCCCCGGCUAACUUCGUGCCAGCAGCCGCGGUAAUACGAAGGGGGCUAGCGUUGCUCGGAAUCACUGGGCGUAAAGCGCACGUAGGCGGCUUUCUAAGUCAGGGGUGAAAUCCCGGAGCUCAACUCCGGAACUGCCUUUGAUACUGGAAAGCUUGAGUUCGGGAGAGGUGAGUGGAACUGCGAGUGUAGAGGUGAAAUUCGUAGAUAUUCGCAAGAACACCAGUGGCGAAGGCGGCUCACUGGCCCGAUACUGACGCUGAGGUGCGAAAGCGUGGGGAGCAAACA